AUUGAACGCUGGCGGCAGGCCUAACACAUGCAAGUCGAACGGUAACAGGAAGCAGCUUGCUGCUUCGCUGACGAGUGGCGGACGGGUGAGUAAUGUCUGGGACACUGCCUGAUGGAGGGGAUAACUACUGGAAACGGUAGCUAAUACCGCAUAACGUCGCAAGACCAAAGAGGGGGACCUUAGGGCCUCUUGUCAUCGGAUGUGCCCAGAUGGGAUUAGCUAGUAGGCGGGGUAACGGCUCACCUAGGCGACGAUCCCUAGCUGGUCUGAGAGGAUGACCAGCCACACUGGAACUGAGACACGGUCCAGACUCCUACGGGAGGCAGCAGUGGGGAAUAUUGCACAAUGGGCGCAAGCCUGAUGCAGCCAUGCCGCGUGUAUGAAGAAGGCCUUCGGGUUGUAAAGUACUUUCAGCGGGGAGGAAGGGAGUAAAGUUAAUACCUUGGCUCAUUGACGUUACCCGCAGAAGAAGCACCGGCUAACUCCGUG
RNAcentral lists this ribosomal RNA (489 nucleotides) under uncultured bacterium. Its description in RNAcentral is "partial 16S ribosomal RNA". It matches the Rfam family "Bacterial small subunit ribosomal RNA", at positions 30 to 507 of the family's 1533-position model. The record is from RNAcentral.